This 492-nucleotide ribosomal RNA is filed under the name uncultured bacterium. Its description in RNAcentral is "partial 16S ribosomal RNA". It matches the Rfam family "Bacterial small subunit ribosomal RNA", at positions 37 to 507 of the family's 1533-position model. The record is from RNAcentral.
GGGGGGGGGGGGGGGGGGGGGGGGGGGGGGGGGGGGGGGGGGGGGCGGAGGAAGGGGGGGCGGGUACGGGGGGCGGGGGGCGGGCGGGGGGGGGAUGCGUCGGGAGGGAGUUUUUCGUGGGGGAUAACGUGGGGAGACUGACGGUCCUACCGCCUACGACCUAAGGGUGACAGCAGGGGGUCUUCGUACCUUGCGCGAUUGCAUGAGCCGAUGUCGGAUUAGCUGGUUGGCGGGGUAAAGGCCCACCAAGGCGACGGUCCGUAGCUGGUCUGGGAGGUUGAUCAGCCACACUGGAACUGAGACACGGUCCAGACUCCUACGGGAGGCAGCAGUGGGGAAUAUUGGACAAUGGGCGCAAGCCUGAUCCAGCCAUACCGCGUGGGUGAAGAAGGCCUUCGGGUUGUAAAGCCCUUUUGUUGGGAAAGAAAAGCAGCAGGUUAAUACCCCGCUGUUCUGACGGUACCCAAAGAAUAAGCACCGGCUAACUUCGUG